UGCUCGAGUGGCGAACGGGUGAGUAACACGUGAGUAACCGCCCUUGACUUUGGGAUAACUUCAGGAAACUGGGGCUAAUACCGGAUAGGAGCUCCUGCUGCAUGGUGGGGGUUGGAAAGUUUCGGCGGUUGGGGAUGGACUCGCGGCUUAUCAGCUUGUUGGUGGGGUAGUGGCUUACCAAGGCUUUGACGGGUAGCCGGCCUGAGAGGGUGACCGGCCACAUUGGGACUGAGAUACGGCCCAG
RNAcentral lists this ribosomal RNA (244 nucleotides) under uncultured Actinomycetales bacterium. RNAcentral describes it as "partial 16S ribosomal RNA". It matches the Rfam family "Bacterial small subunit ribosomal RNA", at positions 88 to 334 of the family's 1533-position model. Lineage: Bacteria; Bacillati; Actinomycetota; Actinomycetes; Actinomycetales. The record is from RNAcentral.